RNAcentral lists this unclassified non-coding RNA (412 nucleotides) under Hevea brasiliensis (rubber tree). The record is from RNAcentral. Lineage: Eukaryota; Viridiplantae; Streptophyta; Magnoliopsida; Malpighiales; Euphorbiaceae.
AAAAAGUGAUGCUCGUGAAAUGCAGAGUUUCUACCAGCAUUACUAUAGGAAGUAUAUUCAGGCUUUGCAGAAUGCUGCUGAUAAAGCUGAUCGCGCACGACUUACAAAAGCAUACCAAACAGCUGCUGUGCUUUUUGAGGUCUUGAAAGCUGUUAACCUGACAGAAGCUGUGGAAGUGUCUGACGAGAUUUUGGAAGCUCAUACAAAGGUUGCCGAGAAGACUGAGAUACUAGUUCCAUAUAAUAUACUUCCACUUGAUCCUGAUAGUUCAAAUCAAGCAAUUAUGAGAUAUCCUGAGAUUCAAGCUACUGUCACUGCUCUUCGCAAUACAAGAGGUCUUCCAUGGCCAAAAAACCAUAAGAAGAAAGUUGAUGAAGAUAUUCUGGACUGGCUUCAAGCUAUGUUUGGUUUU